This 253-nucleotide ribosomal RNA is filed under the name uncultured bacterium. RNAcentral describes it as "partial 16S ribosomal RNA". It matches the Rfam family "Bacterial small subunit ribosomal RNA", at positions 524 to 776 of the family's 1533-position model. The record is from RNAcentral.
UACGGGGGGGGCAAGCGUUGUUCGGAAUUACUGGGAGUAAAGGGCUCGUAGGCGGCCCUCUCAGUCGGAUGUGAAAUCCCCAGGCUUAACCUGGGAAUGGCAUCCGAUACUGGAGGGCUUGAAUUCGGGAGAGGGAUGCAGAAUUCCAGGUGUAGCGGUGAAAUGCGCGGAUAUCAGGAGGAACACCGGUGGCGAAGGCGGGUCUCUGGGCCGAUACUGACGCUGAGGAGCGAAAGCGUGGGGAGCGAACAGG